Long non-coding RNA from Trifolium pratense (red clover), 903 nucleotides. RefSeq lists it as uncharacterized. The record is from RefSeq and is a predicted model, not a curated record. The transcript has 3 exons. NCBI's taxonomy places the organism in Eukaryota, Viridiplantae, Streptophyta, Magnoliopsida, Fabales, Fabaceae.
GUGUUAACAUGACCCAACUUAAAAAUAGUUUAAGAGAAUUUUUUUAUGGAAGUUACUAGAUAAAAGAGUCGUACAAAAAUAGGGCUUAGGCCCUCUUUGUAUAAAAAUUAACUUAAUAAAAUAAACUUUUUCUAAAUGAAUUCCACCUAUCUCAGAAAACUGACUUUAUAGUUUAUACCGUUGUUUUCAAAUUACUAAUAUUUUCUGUUCGUUAUCCCUAAUCAAUGUUGAUGCAAUCAGAGUGCGAAGAAUGAUAAGGGCACUUCAAUUGAAAAGAGCUUCGCAAUUGCAAUAUGCAUUUUAUGUUCUCCACUUUACAUGAUGUGCUAAGGUGAUUCCUCAAUCAAUUCUAACACAAGAGAUAAUAGUCUUGUUUUAUUUUGUCGAUCAUAUUUUACACCCCACAACUGUUUGAUAAAUUGUCUCUGAUAAAUAUGCAAAAAAAUUAUCUUGAUGUUGGAGACAAUGUUUUCUUCAAUUCCACCAUGCUUAAAGUAUGGUGGUUCAAGAGGGGAUGGCAAGUUUAUUGAAGGGCUGGCUGUUGAGUUAGAAUGCCAUUGUUUGUAGGGUGGUCAAUAUUAUAUCAGUUAAUUGUGCACCAAAGUGGUAUAUGGACGAUUUCAUCGCGAUUUGUAUGAAAACAGAGGAGGUGCUUCCUAGUUCCUACUCUUACCUACGGCUCAUAUACACACCCACAUCAAAGCAGCACUCGGGGUGGCUCAUUAAAAAUCUCUCCAUUGCCAUAUCAGCCAUGAAUUUGGACCUUCUGCUUAAAAAUGUUGGCCAAUUGUUAUGCAAAACCUGGUGAUGCCAAGGUGCCAGUAGAUAGUUGCGGCGGCUGGAUUGUCGUCGAAGCUAGUGGAUCGUAAAAUGAAUAAAGUUCAAAUCUUAUUGCGCAACUAG